GAUGAACGCUGGCGGCGUGCUUAACACAUGCAAGUCGAACGGAAAGGCCCAAGCUUGCUUGGGUACUCGAGUGGCGAACGGGUGAGUAACACGUGGGUGAUCUGCCCUGCACUUCGGGAUAAGCCUGGGAAACUGGGUCUAAUACCGGAUAGGACCACAUUUUGGAUGGUGUGGUGGAAAGUUUUUCGGUGUGGGAUGAGCUCGGGGCCUAUCAGCUUGUUGGUGGGGUAAUGGCCUACCAAGGCGUCGACGGGUAGCCGGCCUGAGAGGGUGUAAGGCCGUCUUGGGUCUGAGAUGAGGCCCAGACAGCUAAGGGAGGGAGCAGUGGGGAAUAUUGCACAAUGGGCGCAAGCCUGAUGCAGCGACGCCGCGUGGGGGAUGACGGCCUUCGGGUUGUAAACUCCUUUCGCUAGGGACGAAGCGUUAUGUGACGGUACCUGGAGAAGAAGCACCGGCUAACUACGUG
Molecule: ribosomal RNA, 466 nt
Filed under: uncultured bacterium
Lineage: Bacteria
Description: partial 16S ribosomal RNA
Rfam family: Bacterial small subunit ribosomal RNA
Source: RNAcentral